Molecule: long non-coding RNA, 746 nt
Filed under: Anser brachyrhynchus (Pink-footed goose)
Lineage: Eukaryota; Metazoa; Chordata; Aves; Anseriformes; Anatidae
Description: lncRNA (ENSABRG00000008698.1)
Source: RNAcentral
AUGGAGCUAAUUAGCUGUUUGGGAACAUGUAUUUCUUCAUUCCUUAAGCUGGAGAAAAGUCCAUUAAACACCUACAUAUAUUAUUUUAGCAACUGUCUUAUUCUUAACUGUACUACAUGGGAGACAGCUAGAUUUCAGGUGAGUGCAUGUGGAAUUUUCCUUUCUAGCCCAGCCAUGCCAAAUGUUUAUGGGGUUUACAUGACUACACUUGAAGAUUUGCUGAUGAAGUGUAUCCAUUGUGCUUACCAAAAGGAGCUCAGUACAAGUACGUGGUUUAUGGUCAGAAGUGUUUGGGAGAAAAGAAAAUUUCCACAGGGUGCUUUUCCCAAAAGAGAAAAGAACAGGCUGACUAGGUAUUUCACAUUUACUUGGCCAACUGUGUCAUCUGCUCCACUCAGGGCACAGUUACUUGACUUCCCCCCUCCUAAAGUCCCAAGUGCUGUCGUCUGCAAAAUAAGCUGCUGGUGUUUUUCACUGUCCGUGAAAACUUUCCUGACAACACCCAAAUCUUCUUUUGCUUGUGAGAAAUGUUUUGCUUUGGACCUUCCAAAACAAGCCUGAAGGCAUUUUGGUGGUACAGACCAUAUGGCAAAAUUGCUAAAUUAUUAAAUCUACAGACUGGUAGACAAGCAAUGCUUUGAAUUUAUCCACCAACAAAGAAUUGCCAAGCUGUAUGAGGCAUUCAGUUUGUGGAUGUGAACUGGAUUGGAAACAUGUAUGAGAAGGAAAAGGCGCGCGUAAAGACG